This 104-nucleotide small nucleolar RNA is filed under the name Gorilla gorilla gorilla (western lowland gorilla). Its description in RNAcentral is "Small nucleolar RNA U13". It matches the Rfam family "Small nucleolar RNA U13". Lineage: Eukaryota; Metazoa; Chordata; Mammalia; Primates; Hominidae. The record is from Rfam by way of RNAcentral.
AUCCUUUUGUAGUUCCUAAGUGUGAUGAUUAGGUUUUCAUGCUCAUGUGUGACAUAUGCCUCCUUCAAAUCUCAUUAGGACACCAGCACAUUACCCAUCUGACA